RNAcentral lists this ribosomal RNA (246 nucleotides) under uncultured bacterium. RNAcentral's name for it is "partial 16S ribosomal RNA". It matches the Rfam family "Bacterial small subunit ribosomal RNA", at positions 527 to 772 of the family's 1533-position model. The record is from RNAcentral.
GUAGGUGGCAAGCGUUAUCCGGAUUUAUUGGGCGUAAAGGGAACGCAGGCGGUCUUUUAAGUCUGAUGUGAAAGCCUUCGGCCCAACCGGAGAAUUGCAUCAGAAACUGUUGAACUUGAGUGCAGAAGAGGAGAGUGGAACUCCAUGUGUAGCGGUGGAAUGCGUAGAUAUAUGGAAGAACACCAGUGGCGAAAGCGGCUCUCUGGUCUGUAACUGACGCUGAGGUUCGAAAGCGUGGGUAGCAAA